Molecule: long non-coding RNA, 1240 nt
Filed under: Bemisia tabaci
Lineage: Eukaryota; Metazoa; Arthropoda; Insecta; Hemiptera; Aleyrodidae
Description: lncRNA ENSSSA1UGG011973
Source: RNAcentral
AAGUUUUUAUCAUAGUUUCACUAAAACUGCGGAUUGCCUCUCUCGAUUAUUGAACCUUAGAAACUUUGUAUUAUAUAUAAAAAACAAAAACAAAAAACAAACAAAAUAUAUCGAUGAUUGUUUAAAAAAUGAAAUGAAGCAAAAUUUGUUAAAUGUUAUUCAAUUGUUUCGUACGCUCCUUUUGUAAAUCUUUUUAAAGGGGACAAUUCUGCUAUAAAUAUUAGUCUGCUCAUUCAGAAUUAUAGAACUUUUGAAAUAAUAGUAUCAUCUUGCAUGUUCAUUCUUCUUAAAUUUGUUUUCAUAGAAGUCCUUAAGUUUCUCUGUUUUUGAUUGAAAUUAUGCAAAUAUUUGUGAUUAUAUGCAGGUUUAAUUCAUGAGCUAAGUCAAAUAAUUAUUUCUUCCCAAACGAGGGACUACUUAAUGAUUUUUAAAUACUUAAUUGGGUGUAGUAUUCAGAUUUGUGCAUCACAAAGCUAACAUCAUGGCUUCGACGAGAUAAAUUUCUGACGUCGAACCUAAAAUAUAGGCUGUGAUCGUAUGGCAGGGUAGGGGAGGAAUUGCCUCGCUGGGUGUUGAAGUCUGUAAGCUAAUUAGAAAAUCAUAAGCUCUCGUUUUCACUUUUCGAGUUGCCCACGGGGACUAGCAAAAUCUUCCAGCACCUUGAGUGCAAACAUCCGCUUUCUUGUGUAGGGUGUUUGAUUCAAAUCCCUAGCUUCUACAGUGCCGAAUUUUAAGUAAAAGAAAAACAUCAUGAAGUUCCUCUGCGUUUUAUUUUUCGUCAUAGCGACUGCUUUCUGUCUGGAUACUGUUCUCAGGCUCCCCCAAGGCACUCCUGUUCAGGCUGCUCCAUGGGUCAACAUCGCCAACUCUGGAAAUUUUGCACCGACUAAUCCACCUACUCGACUUCACCCCCCUCCUCAACGUUAGGGUUUCAAAACUCUGGUCUUGCUUUUCCAUCUCUCUUGGAAUUGAGAAAUGCAUUGAAGUCGCAGAUUUCAGUGUUAUCAUACUGUUCUUUUGAGAUAUUCUCUUUGUAUACAGCGCAUCCUUUUUUUUUUUUUUUUUCAAAAAUGACUUUUUUGGUUAAAAAUAAACAUCAACAUUUAUUAAGUAUUUUUAUUUCUGCAAUAAUUAUUAUUUCUGAUCUCAAACACAGUGAAUGGAAGCUUUAUACUUUAAAGCUUUCAUAAGGGAACCUGAAGUACUUUAAUUAAAAUGAGAAACCAUCAAUGAUAUUUAG